Molecule: small RNA, 108 nt
Filed under: Salmonella enterica subsp. enterica serovar Muenchen
Lineage: Bacteria; Pseudomonadati; Pseudomonadota; Gammaproteobacteria; Enterobacterales; Enterobacteriaceae
Also listed under: 4 other names
Description: partial RtT sRNA
Rfam family: RtT RNA
About the family: This family represents a bacterial cis-regulatory element known as RtT RNA. The exact function of RtT is unknown although it is thought that it may be involved in changing the cellular response in relation to amino acid starvation.
Source: RNAcentral
AUAUCUCUCUGUACGGGAAGGAUGAGAAGCUUCGACUAAGGUUCGAUUCGAGCGCAGCGAGAAAGCGUUGCCGCAGGCAACGACCCGAAGGGCGAAGCGCGCAGCGCU